Molecule: long non-coding RNA, 733 nt
Filed under: Physcomitrium patens
Lineage: Eukaryota; Viridiplantae; Streptophyta; Bryopsida; Funariales; Funariaceae
Description: long non-coding RNA (PPAT_LNC008087)
Source: RNAcentral
UGAAAUUAUAAAUUUCCUUUUGCGGCAAAUGAUAUUUUCAUUCUUCUUGCAUCCGAGUAAUCUCUGUACGGAGAAAUUCUGAAAUUCUUUAAGCCACAGAAUACGUCACUGAGAUGUCUAGGAAUAUUUGUAAAAUUCUGGACAAUUGGGUCCUUGGAAUUGAACCCUUGACGAAAAGAGAACUUUCCUAGCUAAGACAAAUGUGCCAGAGAAGCUGAGAAAAUUACCAUCCGGCAAUCUGUGGUGGUUGUAGAUACCUUUUAGAGCAUCCGCGUUAACAGGAAUUAUGAUCAGAUUGCAUGAGGAACAUGUUUGCAACUGAUGGUCAUGGUGGGGGAUCCAUUGCACAAUCACAACCUUCUUGAUUCCUCGUGAAAGUCACGUGAAUCAGCAGCACACGCACGGCUUGGUUAAGUAUAUACGCAUUCUGUGAAUAGCAUUUUGUCUCCUGAGGCGCUAAGAGCUGCUCAGUAAGCAUAAUCUCUGUCGGAACAAUAUAUUCCAAAAAUACAUUUGUGUUGAUCUUUUGACGUCGUGUUGGCCUGCUUGAGACCAGUCUUCGAAGCUGUCAAAUGUAGCAUUAUUUGCACCGAUCCCAACAACUGGUUCCGAUCCCGGAACUCCACAGGAAAUUUGCGAAUGUGCGCCACAGAAUUGCACGUGCUGUGAGAGCAUCGAGAAAGUCAGGUGUCCCACAAGAGAUACCAAUUGUCAAGCUGGACUUGGCAGAUCA